AAGUGAAAACAUAAAGAA
RNAcentral lists this small nuclear RNA (18 nucleotides) under Arabidopsis thaliana (thale cress). Its description in RNAcentral is "snRNA_03306". The record is from RNAcentral. Lineage: Eukaryota; Viridiplantae; Streptophyta; Magnoliopsida; Brassicales; Brassicaceae.